Non-coding RNA from Nothobranchius furzeri (turquoise killifish), 73 nucleotides. The record is from Ensembl. Lineage: Eukaryota; Metazoa; Chordata; Actinopteri; Cyprinodontiformes; Nothobranchiidae.
GUUAGCAUGGCAGAACUAGGUAUAGCAAGAGGCCUAAGCCCUUUUUAUGGAAGUUCAAAUCUUCCUUCUAACU